UACAGAGGGUGCAAGCGUUAAUCGGAAUUACUGGGCGUAAAGGGCGCGUAGGCGGUUGACUAAGUCGGAUGUGAAAUCCCUGGGCUUAACCUAGGAAUUGCAUUUGAUACUGGUCGGCUAGAGUGUGGGAGAGGGAAGUGGAAUUUCCAGUGUAGCGGUGAAAUGCGUAGAUAUUGGAAGGAACACCAGUGGCGAAGGCGACUUCCUGGACCACUACUGACACUGAGGCGCGAAAGCGUGGGGAGCGAACAGG
This 253-nucleotide ribosomal RNA is filed under the name uncultured bacterium. RNAcentral's name for it is "partial 16S ribosomal RNA". It matches the Rfam family "Bacterial small subunit ribosomal RNA", at positions 524 to 776 of the family's 1533-position model. The record is from RNAcentral.